RNAcentral lists this ribosomal RNA (1463 nucleotides) under uncultured Klebsiella sp. Its description in RNAcentral is "bacterial SSU rRNA". It matches the Rfam family "Bacterial small subunit ribosomal RNA". The record is from RNAcentral. Lineage: Bacteria; Pseudomonadati; Pseudomonadota; Gammaproteobacteria; Enterobacterales; Enterobacteriaceae.
AUUGAACGCUGGCGGCAGGCCUAACACAUGCAGGUCGAGCGGUAGCACAGAGAGCUUGCUCUCGGGUGACGAGCGGCGGACGGGUGAGUAAUGUCUGGGAAACUGCCUGAUGGAGGGGGAUAACUACUGGAAACGGUAGCUAAUACCGCAUAACGUCGCAAGACCAAAGUGGGGGACCUUCGGGCCUCAUGCCAUCAGAUGUGCCCAGAUGGGAUUAGCUAGUAGGUGGGGUAAUGGCUCACCUAGGCGACGAUCCCUAGCUGGUCUGAGAGGAUGACCAGCCACACUGGAACUGAGACACGGUCCAGACUCCUACGGGAGGCAGCAGUGGGGAAUAUUGCACAAUGGGCGCAAGCCUGAUGCAGCCAUGCCGCGUGUGUGAAGAAGGCCUUCGGGUUGUAAAGCACUUUCAGCGGGGAGGAAGGCGAUAAGGUUAAUAACCUUGUCGAUUGACGUUACCCGCAGAAGAAGCACCGGCUAACUCCGUGCCAGCAGCCGCGGUAAUACGGAGGGUGCAAGCGUUAAUCGGAAUUACUGGGCGUAAAGCGCACGCAGGCGGUCUGUCAAGUCGGAUGUGAAAUCCCCGGGCUCAACCUGGGAACUGUAUUCGAAACUGGCAGGCUAGAGUCUUGUAGAGGGGGGUAGAAUUCCAGGUGUAGCGGUGAAAUGCGUAGAGAUCUGGAGGAAUACCGGUGGCGAAGGCGGCCCCCUGGACAAAGACUGACGCUCAGGUGCGAAAGCGUGGGGAGCAAACAGGAUUAGAUACCCUGGUAGUCCACGCCGUAAACGAUGUCGAUUUGGAGGUUGUGCCCUUGAGGCGUGGCUUCCGGAGCUAACGCGUUAAAUCGACCGCCUGGGGAGUACGGCCGCAAGGUUAAAACUCAAAUGAAUUGACGGGGGCCCGCACAAGCGGUGGAGCAUGUGGUUUAAUUCGAUGCAACGCGAAGAACCUUACCUGGUCUUGACAUCCACAGAACUUUCCAGAGAUGGAUUGGUGCCUUCGGGAACUGUGAGACAGGUGCUGCAUGGCUGUCGUCAGCUCGUGUUGUGAAAUGUUGGGUUAAGUCCCGCAACGAGCGCAACCCUUAUCCUUUGUUGCCAGCGGUUAGGCCGGGAACUCAAAGGAGACUGCCAGUGAUAAACUGGAGGAAGGUGGGGAUGACGUCAAGUCAUCAUGGCCCUUACGACCAGGGCUACACACGUGCUACAAUGGCAUAUACAAAGAGAAGCGACCUCGCGAGAGCAAGCGGACCUCAUAAAGUAUGUCGUAGUCCGGAUUGGAGUCUGCAACUCGACUCCAUGAAGUCGGAAUCGCUAGUAAUCGUAGAUCAGAAUGCUACGGUGAAUACGUUCCCGGGCCUUGUACACACCGCCCGUCACACCAUGGGAGUGGGUUGCAAAAGAAGUAGGUAGCUUAACCUUCGGGAGGGCGCUUACCACUUUGUGAUUCAUGACUGGGGUGA